RNAcentral lists this ribosomal RNA (484 nucleotides) under uncultured bacterium. RNAcentral's name for it is "partial 16S ribosomal RNA". It matches the Rfam family "Bacterial small subunit ribosomal RNA", at positions 30 to 507 of the family's 1533-position model. The record is from RNAcentral.
AUUGAACGCUGGCGGCAGGCCUAACACAUGCAAGUCGAGCGGACGAAGGGAGCUUGCUCCUGGCUUCAGUGGCGGACGGGUGAGUAAUGCCUAGGAAUCUGCCUGGUAGUGGGGGAUAACGUCCGGUAACGGGCCCUAAUACCGCAUACGUUCUGAGGGUGAAAGUGGGGGUUCUUCGGAGCUCAAGCUAUUAGCUGUGCCUUGGUCGUGUUAGCUAGUUGGUGAGGUAAAGGCCUACCAAGGCGACGUUCCAUAGCUGGUCUGAGAGGCUGAUCAGUCACACUGGAACUGAGACACGGUCCAGACUCCUACGGGAGGCAGCAGUGGGGAAUAUUGGACAAUGGGCGAAAGCCUGAUCCAGCCAUGCCGCGUGUGUGAAGAAGGUCUUCGGAUUGUAAAGCACUUUAAGUUGGGAGGAAGAGCAGUAAGAUAAAACCUGGCUGUUUUGACGUUACCAACAGAGUAAGCACCGGCUAACUACGUA